Quercus robur (English oak) is the source of this 698-nucleotide long non-coding RNA. RefSeq lists it as uncharacterized. The transcript has 5 exons. NCBI's taxonomy places the organism in Eukaryota, Viridiplantae, Streptophyta, Magnoliopsida, Fagales, Fagaceae. The record is from RefSeq and is a predicted model, not a curated record.
UCUGAAAAGGCUCAGACCGACAAGACCUCAUCUAAAAGUCUUAACACUAUUUAAAUGUCUAGAAGUCUAAACAAUGUACUCUCUCUCUUUCUCCUCAUUGAGCCCAGAGUGUAAUAAUUUGAAGUUAAAGUGAAAAGAAAAUUCCAGGGCGGGGUUCUCAAGUAAGAGAAGGAAAAUAAGGCAGCCUAAUUCAAAGUUUCCUCUGCUCAAGCUAUAUUAUCAAGAGCUUUUUCCAGUUUCAAAGCUAUCUGUCUCAGCUAGAGACAUUGGUGUUGGACUAAAGGUUUCAGAAGUUAACCUGCUUUCCCAAACUACCCAAAUUAAGGAAUCUUAAGCAAUUGGAAUUGGGACUAAAUCUCCGUGUGUUCUGCCUCCUCCUUUGCACAUCCCUACUAUGUGCAUCUCCUUCAUUAAAUAGAUUUAAAAUUAAGUUCACAUAUGUCCAUGCUAGAUGGAAGGGCAAUGCAAAUGACUCAAGGGUGCUUAGUGAGGCUAUCAGUAACCCGAAACACGGAUUUCCAUGGACACCAACAAGUUUAUGAAUUAUAUAUAUUAUUAUCUUGUAAUGUGAUGGUGAUGUAUUCACUUGUUUGUAUUCAACAUUUUUUGUACAUGGAACUAACUUGUAAUGUGACUUGAACUCACAUUUACAACCAUGUAAAUAAAUUUAUAAUGUAACUUGAACAUGUUAUUGGCAG